UGCGACCGGAACGUAUUUAUUAGAUAUUAGACCAAUCGCAGCAAUGUGAUUGAGAUGAAUCAAAGUAACUGAUCGAAUCGAAGCUUGCUUCGAUAAAUCAUCUAAGUUUCUGCCCUAUCAGCUCUCGAUGGUAGUGUAUUGGACUACCAUGGCAGUCACGGGUAACGGAGAAUUAGGGUUCGAUUCCGGAGAAGGAGCCUGAGAAACGGCUACUACAACUACGGUUCGGCAGCAGGGAAGAAAAUUGGCCAAUCCUAAUUCAGGGAGCCAGUGACAAGAAAUAGCAAGCUGGGAAACUUAGUUUCUACGGCAUUGAAAUGAGAAAAGUGUUAAUCUCUUAGCGAGGAACAAUUGGAGGGCAAGUCAUGGUGCCAGCAGCCGCGGUAAUUCCAGCUCCAAUAGCGUAUAUUAAAGUUGUUGCAGUUAAAAAGCUCGUAGUUGAACUUCUGUUCAGGUUCAUUUCGACUCGUCGUGUGAAACUGGACAUACGUUUGCAAACUAAAAUCGGCCUUCACUGGUUCGACUUAGGGAGUAAACAUUUUACUGUGAAAAAAUUAGAGUGUUCCAGGCAGGUUUUAGCCCGAAUACAUUAGCAUGGAAUAAUGGAAUAGGACUAAGUCCAUUUUAUUGGUUCUUGGAUUUGGUAAUGAUUAAUAGGGACAGUUGGGGGCAUUAGUAUUUAAUAGUCAGAGGUGAAAUUCUUGGAUUUAUUAAGGACUAACUAAUGCGAAAGCAUUUGCCAAAGAUGUUUUCAUUAAUCAAGAACGAAAGUUAGGGGAUCAAAGACGAUCAGAUACCGUCGUAGUCUUAACUAUAAACUAUACCGACUCGGGAUCGGCUGGAAUAAAUGUCCAGUCGGCACCGUAUGAGAAAUCAAAGUCUUUGGGUUCUGGGGGAAGUAUGGUACGCAAGUCUGAAACUUAAAGGAAUUGACGGAACAGCACACCAGAAGUGGAACCUGCGGCUUAAUUUGACUCAACACGGGGAAACUCACGAGCGCAAGACAGAGAAGGGAUUGACAGAUUGAGAGCUCUUUCUUGAUUCUUUGGGUGGUGGUGCAUGGCCGUUCUUAGUUGGUGGAGUGAUUUGUCUGGUUAAUUCCGUUAACGAACGAGACCUUAACCUGCUAACUAGUCUGCUUGUGAACAACAGGCUGUACUUCUUAGAGGGACUAUUGUGCAAGAAGCCAAUGGAAGUUUAAGGCAAUAACAGGUCUGUGAUGCCCCUAGACGUGCUCGGCCGCACGCGCGUUACAAUGACUGGCGCAGAAAGUAUUUCCUGUCCUGGGAAGGUACGGGUAAUCUUAUUAAUACCAGUCGUGUUAGGGAUAGUUCUUUGGAAUUGUGGAUCUUGAACGAGGAAUUUCUAGUAAGUGCAAGUCAUCA
RNAcentral lists this ribosomal RNA (1385 nucleotides) under Tetrahymena newhampshirensis. Its description in RNAcentral is "SSU rRNA". It matches the Rfam family "Eukaryotic small subunit ribosomal RNA", at positions 191 to 1633 of the family's 1831-position model. Lineage: Eukaryota; Ciliophora; Oligohymenophorea; Hymenostomatida; Tetrahymenidae. The record is from RNAcentral.